RNAcentral lists this ribosomal RNA (313 nucleotides) under uncultured delta proteobacterium. RNAcentral describes it as "bacterial SSU rRNA". It matches the Rfam family "Bacterial small subunit ribosomal RNA", at positions 536 to 847 of the family's 1533-position model. Lineage: Bacteria; Deltaproteobacteria. The record is from RNAcentral.
AAGCGUUGUUCGGAAUUAUUGGGCGUAAAGCGCGUGUAGGCGGUUUGUUAAGUCUGGUGUGAAAGCCCUGGGCUCAACCUGGGAAGUGCAUUGGAUACUGGCAGACUUGAAUACGGGAGAGGGUAGUGGAAUUCCUGGUGUAGGAGUGAAAUCCGUAGAUAUCAGGAGGAACACCGGUGGCGAAGGCGGCUACCUGGACCGAUAUUGACGCUGAGACGCGAAAGCGUGGGGAGCAAACAGGAUUAGAUACCCUGGUAGUCCACGCCGUAAACGAUGAGUACUAGGUGUUGCGGGUAUUGACCCCUGCAGUACC